Sus scrofa (pig) is the source of this 1511-nucleotide non-coding RNA. The record is from RefSeq and is a predicted model, not a curated record. Lineage: Eukaryota; Metazoa; Chordata; Mammalia; Artiodactyla; Suidae.
AACCUCCAUAUGCUGAGGGAGCAGCCCAAGAAAUGGCAAAAAGACAAAAAAAAAACCAAAAAACAAAAAACUCUCAAGCUUGUUCCCCUUGGUGAACAAGAGGUUUAUAUGGACGGGAAGAGCCAAGAAGGCUUCUUGGAGGCGCUGAGAGUAGAGCCGAGCCUCAAAGGACCGUGUCACUUACCAAGAGACUUGGAGACUGGGGCGGUGAGGAAACCAUACUGGAGGGAGCCCAGGGGACUCUGAUGUCAACCUCAAGCUCCAGGAUGAGUGAAUGUAUUUUGUCUUGGGAACAGUAGGAGCCCGUGAUGGUUCUGGAACCUGGGUAGCCUUUGGCGGGACUUAAGUCUGGACGGAAGCCUUCAUCAAUCUGGGGUGGCCCUCUCUUGUCCUGCAGUGGCGUGUGGAGCUUCCAAGACCCCCAGGCACUUGUUGAAAGAUGAGAAAAACCAAGACGGAAGAGGGCAUGCCCCAAGGUCACGCAGCUGACCCGGAAUUCCUAUCUCCGUCUGUAUGAUGGCCAAGUCCGUUGCUCCAAAGCCUGAGCCUGACCCACCGCCUCAAGUAAAGGGCCUCCCCGACUCCUCCUGGAGAAGGGAGCGCAUUGGCUCUGGGAUGAGCAGCUAUCCCUUUAACGUGGUGGCUGGCCCACCUGUUACCUAUUAUCCUGCUUCCUAACACCGACAGCCAUGCCCUUGCUAUAGGGUGGAACUCUCGCCCCCGCAGAAGUCCGUCCUGGCACCUGGCCAUAGUUUGUCCUGUUGCAAGACUGCUCUUCUUGGCAGUCGGAGCUGGUGACUUUGUAACAGACCAUUAAAGACCCUGAUAAUGAAACAAACUCCAGGGGCAACUUGGAGCGUGGCUACGGGCGAAGGAUGUGUGGAGAGAUCAGGCAGGCCUGUGGAGACGGCUAAGGCCCCAGAGAAAGCCUGAGGGAGCCACGCCUGGAUCAAGAGGCCUCCUGGAGCCCCCUCUCACCAGGCCAGAGCUGCGCUGGUGGAGGGCUGCCACACAGGGGAACCAAGCUCCGGCCUCCACGCUUCUGCAUUCGGUCUUCCCAGCAGCCCUCUGAGGUCGUCAGGGUGGAAUGAGUCUUACUUGACAGAUGAGGAGACUCAGACGCGAGGUCCUGGAGUCCGUCUCCAAAGCACGUCGGAAGGAGGGCGAGGUCUCGCUCCGUUCUCCUGACUCCACGUGGAUAGUCUUUCUGCUUCAGGCAGGUGGUGCUGUGCUGUGUGCUACAGAUUCCACUGAGUGGGACCCUAAGGCCCAGCGGAACCCCCAUGGCUCCUCCUUGCUCAUUCCAGCAACGAAGAAAAAUGACUGCAUCUGCCCUGAGGACCGCUGUGCACAUUCUCUGAGUUGAUUCAUCAAAAGCCUUUAGCAGAGCGUGAGACUUGGAGGCCACCGUGCACAGAAGCUCAUUUGUGGAAGAGGAGGUUGGUGACUUGGUGGGGCCUCCCUUCUCUGUCAUCAAGGAUGCCCUCCUGUAGUGGCUCAGUGGAAAUGAA